AGUGAACGCUGGCGGCAGGCCUAACACAUGCAAGUCGAGCGGCAGCGGGUCCCCGCGAGGGGAUGCCGGCGAGCGGCGGACGGGUGAGGAACACAUCGGAAUCUGCCUGGUUGUGGGGGAUAACGUAGGGAAACUUACGCUAAUACCGCAUGCGACCCUGAGUCGACGGACUGGGGGUGAAAGUGAGGGACCUUCGGGCCUCACGCGACCAGAUGAGCCGAUGUCGGAUUAGCUAGUUGGCGGGGUAACGGCCCGCCAAGGCGACGAUCCGUAGCUGGUCUGAGAGGAUGAUCAGCCACACUGGGACUGAGACACGGCCCAGACUCCUACGGGAGGCAGCAGUGGGGAAUCUUGGACAAUGGGCGCAAGCCUGAUCCAGCCAU
Molecule: ribosomal RNA, 383 nt
Filed under: uncultured bacterium
Lineage: Bacteria
Description: bacterial SSU rRNA
Rfam family: Bacterial small subunit ribosomal RNA
Source: RNAcentral